UACGUAGGUGGCAAGCGUUAUCCGGAUUUACUGGGUGUAAAGGGCGUGUAGGCGGGAGAGCAAGUCAGACGUGGAAUUCCAGGGCUCAACCCUGGAACUGCGUUUGAAACUGUUCUUCUUGAGUGAUGGAGAGGCAGGCGGAAUUCCGUGUGUAGCGGUGAAAUGCGUAGAUAUACGGAGGAACACCAGUGGCGAAGGCGGCCUGCUGGACAUUAACUGACGCUGAGGCGCGAAAGCGUGGGGAGCAAACAGG
Molecule: ribosomal RNA, 253 nt
Filed under: uncultured bacterium
Lineage: Bacteria
Description: partial 16S ribosomal RNA
Rfam family: Bacterial small subunit ribosomal RNA
Source: RNAcentral